Ornithodoros turicata is the source of this 516-nucleotide long non-coding RNA. RefSeq lists it as uncharacterized. The transcript is spliced from 2 exons. The record is from RefSeq and is a predicted model, not a curated record. Lineage: Eukaryota; Metazoa; Arthropoda; Arachnida; Ixodida; Argasidae.
CCCUUCGUCUUCUUGUCAAGGCACGCAUUUGUCGUUAUGCGAAGUCGUGUGGUGCGCGUCUCCAUGGACAGCAUUUGAAAAAUUGUCGCAAUUGCAGCACCGCGCUCACACCUAUCAGGUGAGCAUCACUCGUUAAGCCUUGAUGAGAAAGACAUCGCCACAUGCCUGUUUCAGGAGUCCACGCCAUGCCGGUGACAAACAAAGACAAUCACGGCAUUCGCCGUGGCAUGUGCAGUGCCGACUGUCCAUGUCCUGGCUACUUUAUGGGCGUUGAUGAAGCCGGCAACGAAAAAAGGACAUUGUGCUGCUAGAGUUUUGACUAUAUCACCCUCUAAAUGUAGGAGCUCGCAAAAGGCCUGUGGCAGUGAUUGUAAUCCAUUUCACUUCAUACAUCCAAGUUUGGUGUUGUUUUCACAAUUUUGUGAUGUGUGUAUCACUUGAUAAUAUAUUCUUGAAUCAACUUAAUUGUGCCUUUUCUUAUUGUUGUCGCAAUAAACGAGGGGGCUAAUGGUUGCA